GAGAUCGCCAUGCUUGUC
This 18-nucleotide unclassified non-coding RNA is filed under the name Mus musculus (house mouse). RNAcentral describes it as "oocyte_clustered_small_RNA9873". The record is from RNAcentral. Lineage: Eukaryota; Metazoa; Chordata; Mammalia; Rodentia; Muridae.